RNAcentral lists this ribosomal RNA (538 nucleotides) under Escherichia coli. RNAcentral describes it as "bacterial LSU rRNA". It matches the Rfam family "Bacterial large subunit ribosomal RNA", at positions 711 to 1246 of the family's 2925-position model. Lineage: Bacteria; Pseudomonadati; Pseudomonadota; Gammaproteobacteria; Enterobacterales; Enterobacteriaceae. The record is from RNAcentral.
AGACCCGAAACCCGGUGAUCUAGCCAUGGGCAGGUUGAAGGUUGGGUAACACUAACUGGAGGACCGAACCGACUAAUGUUGAAAAAUUAGCGGAUGACUUGUGGCUGGGGGGGAAAGGCCAAUCAAACCGGGAGAUAGCUGGUUCUCCCCGAAAGCUAUUUAGGUAGCGCCUCGUGAAUUCAUCUCCGGGGGUAGAGCACUGUUUCGGCAAGGGGGUCAUCCCGACUUACCAACCCGAUGCAAACUGCGAAUACCGGAGAAUGUUAUCACGGGAGACACACGGCGGGUGCUAACGUCCGUCGUGAAGAGGGAAACAACCCAGACCGCCAGCUAAGGUCCCAAAGUCAUGGUUAAGUGGGAAACGAUGUGGGAAGGCCCAGACAGCCAGGAUGUUGGCUUAGAAGCAGCCAUCAUUUAAAGAAAGCGUAAUAGCUCACUGGUCGAGUCGGCCUGCGCGGAAGAUGUAACGGGGCUAAACCAUGCACCGAAGCUGCGGCAGCGACGCUUAUGCGUUGUUGGGUAGGGGAGCGUUCUGUAA